This 563-nucleotide ribosomal RNA is filed under the name bacterium D11(2005). RNAcentral describes it as "bacterial SSU rRNA". It matches the Rfam family "Bacterial small subunit ribosomal RNA", at positions 52 to 597 of the family's 1533-position model. The record is from RNAcentral.
UACAUGCAGUCGAGCGAAUGGAUUAGAGCUUGCUCUUAUGAAGUUAGCGGCGGACGGGUGAGUAACACGUGGGUAACCUGCCCAUAAGACUGGGAUAACUCCGGGAAACCGGGGCUAAUACCGGAUAACAUUUUGAACUGCAUGGUUCGAAAUUGAAAGGCGGCUUCGGCUGUCACUUAUGGAUGGACCCGCGUCGCAUUAGCUAGUUGGUGAGGUAACGGCUCACCAAGGCAACGAUGCGUAGCCGACCUGAGAGGGUGAUCGGCCACACUGGGACUGAGACACGGCCCAGACUCCUACGGGAGGCAGCAGUAGGGAAUCUUCCGCAAUGGACGAAAGUCUGACGGAGCAACGCCGCGUGAGUGAUGAAGGCUUUCGGGUCGUAAAACUCUGUUGUUAGGGAACGAACCAAGUGCUAGUUGAAUAGCUGGCACCUUGAACGGUACCUAACCAGAAAGCCACGGUUAACUACGUGCCAGCAGCCGCGGUAAUACGUAGGUGGCAAGCGUAUCCGGAAUUAUGGGCGUAAAGCGCGCGCAGGUGGUUUCUUAAGUCUGAUGUGA